UUUAUUUUUUGUCAAUAUCAUUUUAAACGAACAUUUGACUCGUUAAUUUACCUGUUAGCUACUGUUACAAGCUGAAAUCAAUACCUACAGGCUAUCAUGGCUUUUAACUGUGGAAAAAAAUAACUAAUCUGAACUAAAAACAUUUUUUUUCUGAUCCAAGGAAGUUAGUGUUAUUGCAUUUCCAUUGCAAGAAUAGCAUGCAUGUCAGCAUCUUUAUUAAAGUGUAUUUGUGUGAAUCUCUCUCAUAAAUACACACACAGGAACAUUUUAGCCAAGAAUUACUGCUGACCGUUAUGUAUUUGUGUUUUACAGGAGGAUCUGGUGGCCGCAAGGAAAACCCUAUUUGGCAAGCAAAACUUUUUCUCCUUCCAGGGCCAGAUAAUGGUUUUCUGCCCCCCACAAUAGAACUUGAGGAACUGGCUAAACAUAGAUUAGGAAAACCUGUGCACGAGUCAACGGAGGCCGGACGCACAAACUCAAGGAUUGGGUUAAACUGGAGUUUAUCUGUAUUAAACAACUUUGUUUGCCAAAGCUACCCUCGCAUCAGUUUAAAUUUAAUAGGCUUUGAAUUGGCAAGGACAGGCAAAGGACGCAAGAUCCAGAAAUUGCAAGUUAGUUCUGUGAAGGAACUAAAAGCAGUUGUUGGCAAAAGCAGGCUUUACAUCGUGCCACGAGCCACUGUCUUCAAGGUAACAUCACCACCCUCUGCCAUGUCCCAGAAUUCAUUCCAACCACUCGCAGCUCCAGCAGUAGAUGAGACCUCACAAGUGGUUUCAGAUCAGGUGGCAUCCACAUCCUCUGCCAUAUCCAUGAAUUCAUUCCCACCACUCUCAAUUGCUCCGGUACAAGAUGAGACCACGCCUGUGGCUGAGAGUACCCAAGCUCAAAGUGUGGUUGCAAAUCAGGCUCUUCAAGAAUGGCGAGCAAUACGUGCCCAGCAAGACCAGGAGUAUAAUACAAGUUUGUUGGUGGAUCAGGAGAAGGAGAGGAAGAAACUAGUCUAUCAGGCUUGUGAGGAAAGAUGUCAAAAGGCUAUUGAGGCAAGACGUCAGCGAAUGUCUGCAUGUGAGGAACCCUCAGAUGGGGUGUUGAUCAAAUUUAAAUAUCCAAAUGGACACACCUAUAUGAGGAAAUUCCGUUUGUCGGAGCCAAUCCAGGUGAUGUGUGUUCAGCUUGAGAAAAUAUCAAGUGUCUUCUCAGUGGUUCAGUGGGUUGUAAAACUUGACUGUUUCACAUCUUUUUAGAUCUUGUUUGACUUUGUGGGACAAGAUAAUAUUGCCAGUGAAAUCUUUGUGGUGCAAGAAGCUGCAUCAUCAAGAUCAGUUGAGAGCAGUUGCUCCGGGUCAAUAAUGGAUCAUGGCAUAAAAGCAUCCUCAGCUCUAUAUGUGCUUUGGUUUUCAAAUAAGGAUGUACAGGUAAAUGUGUUGCAUUUUUAUUUCUUGACUCAAAUGAAAAUGGAAUGUGUUUUGGUUUGUGCAAGCUCAUGUUUUAUGCAUGUUUGUCUUCAGGAAAUUCUCUCAGAUCAACAAAAUGAUGGAGCUUAUGCCCUACACCAUACAUCUCAUGGUCAGUCAUAACUGUCUGAGACCUCCACCCAGCCAAGUCUCUCUGUGCCCUCAUUCCAGCCACCGCUGCCUGAGCCCUCCACCCGCUCACCGCUGCCUGAGCCCUCCACCCAGCCACCGCUCACUCUGUUCUCACAACCACAAGAAAUCCUGACUCUUUAUGAUGAACCAUCACUCUCUCCUUCAUCUGCCCAAGAACCAAUCAUUAUUCUUGAUGAACAAGAUGAGUCGUUUUCACAAAAUCAGUCUCCUGUAUCAACACAUCACCUCAGAGGACCUGUGGAUGAGUGUGUUUUUCUCAUUAACUUGAUUUUAUAUUUUUCUAGUGUAUGUAGAUGUUUCAUUUUCUGUAUCCUAUUACAUUUAAUCAGGUGGUUAACUUAAAAUGCAUGAACUUCUUUGUUUGCAGGAUUGAUCUACAGACCAUAUUGAAAAAAAUGGUCAGCAAAGUUGAUGGAAGAUUCUGUCCAACAAGCAACCAAAUAAAUGUGUGCAGGGAUAAUGUUUUACUGUGUAG
Molecule: long non-coding RNA, 2082 nt
Organism: Cyprinus carpio (common carp)
Lineage: Eukaryota; Metazoa; Chordata; Actinopteri; Cypriniformes; Cyprinidae
Source: Ensembl